GACGAACGCUGGCGGCGUGCCUAAUACAUGCAAGUAGAACGCUGAAGAGAGGAGCUUGCUCUUCUUGGAUGAGUUGCGAACGGGUGAGUAACGCGUAGGUAACCUGCCUUGUAGCGGGGGAUAACUAUUGGAAACGAUAGCUAAUACCGCAUAACAAUGGAUGACACAUGUCAUUUAUUUGAAAGGGGCAAUUGCUCCACUACAAGAUGGACCUGCGUUGUAUUAGCUAGUAGGUGAGGUAACGGCUCACCUAGGCGACGAUACAUAGCCGACCUGAGAGGGUGAUCGGCCACACUGGGACUGAGACAUGGCCCAGACUCCUACGGGAGGCAGCAGUAGGGAAUCUUCGGCAAUGGGGGCAACCCUGACCGAGCAACGCCGCGUGAGUGAAGAAGGUUUUCGGAUCGUAAAGCUCUGUUGUAAGUCAAGAACGAGUGUGAGAGUGGAAAGUUCACACUGUGACGGUAGCUUACCAGAAAGAGACGGCUAACUACGUG
Molecule: ribosomal RNA, 497 nt
Filed under: uncultured bacterium
Lineage: Bacteria
Description: partial 16S ribosomal RNA
Rfam family: Bacterial small subunit ribosomal RNA
Source: RNAcentral